GACGAACGCUGGCGGCGUGCUUAACACAUGCAAGUCGAACGGAAAGGCCCUGCUUUUGUGGGGUGCUCGAGUGGCGAACGGGUGAGUAACACGUGAGUAACCUGCCCUUGACUUUGGGAUAACUUCAGGAAACUGGGGCUAAUACCGGAUAGGAGCUCCUGCUGCAUGGUGGGGGUUGGAAAGUUUCGGCGGUUGGGGAUGGACUCGCGGCUUAUCAGCUUGUUGGUGGGGUAGUGGCUUACCAAGGCUUUGAAGGGUAGCCGGCCUGAGAGGGUGACCGGGCACAUUGGGACUGAGAUACGGCCCAGACUCCUACGGGAGGCAGCAGUGGGGAAUAUUGCACAAUGGGCGGAAGCCUGAUGCAGCAACGCCGCGUGCGGGAUGACGGCCUUCGGGUUGUAAACCGCUUUCGCCUGUGACGAAGCGUGAGUGACGGUAAUGGGUAAAGAAGCACCGGCUAACUACGUG
RNAcentral lists this ribosomal RNA (468 nucleotides) under uncultured bacterium. Its description in RNAcentral is "partial 16S ribosomal RNA". It matches the Rfam family "Bacterial small subunit ribosomal RNA", at positions 28 to 507 of the family's 1533-position model. The record is from RNAcentral.